UAAUCUGUCUGGGACAUAUCGUCAUCUAGUUGUGGCAGACCCACACGUAACUGCACAAAAUCACUUGUUAUCGCAAGCCCGACUUCUUCACUUCGAUACUAUUUUAAAAAAUCAUCUCGGCUCAAGACUUAAGU
Populus trichocarpa (black cottonwood) is the source of this 134-nucleotide non-coding RNA. The record is from Rfam. NCBI's taxonomy places the organism in Eukaryota, Viridiplantae, Streptophyta, Magnoliopsida, Malpighiales, Salicaceae.